RNAcentral lists this ribosomal RNA (265 nucleotides) under Blastocystis hominis. Its description in RNAcentral is "partial 18S ribosomal RNA". It matches the Rfam family "Eukaryotic small subunit ribosomal RNA", at positions 62 to 348 of the family's 1831-position model. The record is from RNAcentral. Lineage: Eukaryota; Bigyra; Opalinata; Blastocystidae.
AGUAUAAUAGUUAACUUUGAAACUGCGAAUGGCUCAUUAUAUCAGUUAUAGUUUAUUUGAUGAAGAAUACUAAUUGGAUAACCGUAGUAAUUCUAGAGCUAAUACAUGUAUAAAGUCUUGUAGACUGCAUUUAUUAGAAUGAAAACCAUAGGUUUCGGCCUAUUCGUGAGUAAUAAUAACUAAUCAUAUCGUAUGCUUACGUAACGAUGUGUCUUUCAAGUUUCUGCCCUAUCAGCUUUCGAUGGUAGUGUAUUGGACUACCAUG